Labrus mixtus (cuckoo wrasse) is the source of this 517-nucleotide long non-coding RNA. RefSeq lists it as uncharacterized. Lineage: Eukaryota; Metazoa; Chordata; Actinopteri; Labriformes; Labridae. The record is from RefSeq and is a predicted model, not a curated record. The transcript is spliced from 2 exons.
GUACUUUUCUCUUUUUUUCACAGUCGGGUCUUAAUUUGACUAGUUUUGCUGUAAAUUUAGAUAUACAGGGAAUGGCGUUCUUCCUUUAUUUCUACUGUUUAUAAACCAGCUUAGUGAUGCAUUACUGCCACCAGCUGGUCAGGAGGGGAAUUACAGAAAUGGAUGACGGGGAAGUCGGGCACAAAGUGUGCUCACCAGUCAGAGGUGGAAAUCCUCUCGGUCCUGGCAAACCAAAGGGCUCAAAUUCAGGAAUGUUUGUUGAGUCAAAGUUGGAGCUGGAGAUGGGAUCUGUAGAGCGUCCGCGGUUGGUCACUUUGGGAGGGAGUCCGGAGGGGGUAGGGGGGGCAGAGGAGGGGGUCACAGUGGCUCCUUGACUGGACAUGGUGGCGAUCGCUCAGGACAAAUGAUCCGACACUGGACCGCAAGAGGAGAGAUGAUGGAAAACAAAUACUACGUCACUCUUUAUGAAUUUUUUUCAUGAUGACUUGAAACAGAAAAUAAAUAACUCGCAAUUUUU